RNAcentral lists this ribosomal RNA (127 nucleotides) under Labrocarpon sp. Its description in RNAcentral is "partial large subunit ribosomal RNA". The record is from RNAcentral. Lineage: Eukaryota; Fungi; Ascomycota; Dothideomycetes; Asterinales; Stictographaceae.
GCCCGAGUUGUAAUUUGCAGAGGAGGCUUUGGAGUCGCCCCGGUCCAAGUUCCUUGGAACAGGACGUCGCAGAGGGUGAGAAUCCCGUACGCGGCCGGAUGGCUUCUCCGUGUAAAGCCCCUUCGAC